AAACCAACAGGGAUUGCCUCAGUAACGGCGAGUGAAGCGGCAAAAGCUCAAAUUUGAAAUCCCCCGGGAAUUGUAAUUUGAAGAGAUUUGGGUCCGGCCGGCGGGGGUUAAGUCCACUGGAAAGUGGCGCCACAGAGGGUGACAGCCCCGUGAACCCCUUUAACGCCUUCAUCCCAGAUCUCCAAGAGUCGAGUUGUUUGGGAAUGCAGCUCUAAGUGGGUGGUAAAUUCCAUCUAAAGCUAAAUACCGGCGAGAGACCGAUAGCGAACAAGUACAGUGAUGGAAAGAUGAAAAGCACUUUGAAAAGAGAGUGAAAAAGUACGUGAAAUUGUUGAAAGGGAAGGGCUUGCAAGCAGACACUUAACUGGGCCAGCAUCGGGGCGGCGGGAAACAAAACCACCGGGGAAUGUACCUUUCGAGGAUUAUAACCCCGGUCCUUAUUUCCUUGCUGCCCCGAGGCCUGCAAUCUAAGGAUGCUGGCGUAAUGGUUGCAAGUCGC
RNAcentral lists this ribosomal RNA (499 nucleotides) under Metschnikowia sp. 1 MS-2013. Its description in RNAcentral is "eukaryotic LSU rRNA". It matches the Rfam family "Eukaryotic large subunit ribosomal RNA", at positions 62 to 648 of the family's 3401-position model. The record is from RNAcentral. Lineage: Eukaryota; Fungi; Ascomycota; Pichiomycetes; Serinales; Metschnikowiaceae.